CUCUCUGCAGUUCGUUUCUUAUGGUAAAACUUGGAAAAGAUGAACCCCCCUUCUGAAUCGUUGUGUGUCUAGUGCCCUUGUGUGAGACUGCAACCCUAGCGCAAAGGGCACCCGCCAAGCACCUUCUGGUCUUCUAACAGCUCUUAGUUAUCAUGGUGGAUAUUAUCUACUUGCAGUAAGCUUCAUUUGCGCGGAUGAAAUAGUUGUGUUUAGUAGCUAAAGCCUGUUUGGUAGGAGUCUUUGGAAGAAGCGUCACGUCUCGGCCUCUCUAAUAUCCUUUUGUGCGACUUGGAAACGGCAAGCAGCUUGACAGUGACGCGGGGAUUGGAUAACCUGCACGUAGAAGCGACCUGACUUCAGGAGGUCUGAGAACAACAGCGGAAGCCACUAUACCUAGAGACUUUUUUAGUCGAAAGGGGUAAAUAUUUUAGACAUUUGACAUUCGUCUUUCCAGGACCACACACCGACCCCCUUCCCUCCCCUCCUGUACGCUAGUUCUUGUGAAAGGAACAUUUA
Protopterus annectens (West African lungfish) is the source of this 516-nucleotide long non-coding RNA. RefSeq lists it as uncharacterized. The record is from RefSeq and is a predicted model, not a curated record. The transcript is spliced from 2 exons. Lineage: Eukaryota; Metazoa; Chordata; Ceratodontiformes; Protopteridae.